Molecule: ribosomal RNA, 419 nt
Filed under: Methylobacterium gregans
Lineage: Bacteria; Pseudomonadati; Pseudomonadota; Alphaproteobacteria; Hyphomicrobiales; Methylobacteriaceae
Description: bacterial SSU rRNA
Rfam family: Bacterial small subunit ribosomal RNA
Source: RNAcentral
UGGGCGCAAGCCUGAUCCAGCCAUGCCGCGUGAGUGAUGACGGCCUUAGGGUUGUAAAGCUCUUUUCUCCGGGACGAUAAUGACGGUACCGGAGGAAUAAGCCCCGGCUAACUUCGUGCCAGCAGCCGCGGUAAUACGAAGGGGGCUAGCGUUGCUCGGAAUCACUGGGCGUAAAGGGCGCGUAGGCGGCGUUUUAAGUCGGGGGUGAAAGCCUGUGGCUCAACCACAGAAUGGCCUUCGAUACUGGGACGCUUGAGUAUGGUAGAGGUUGGUGGAACUGCGAGUGUAGAGGUGAAAUUCGUAGAUAUUCGCAAGAACACCGGUGGCGAAGGCGGCCAACUGGACCAUUACUGACGCUGAGGCGCGAAAGCGUGGGGAGCAAACAGGAUUAGAUACCCUGGUAGUCCACGCCGUAUACG